GGAGGGGUGUCCGAGUGGCUGAAGGUGAUUGACUCGAAAUCAAUUGUGCAUAAUAUGCACCGGGGGUUCAAAUCCUCUCCCCUCCGCCA
RNAcentral lists this transfer RNA (89 nucleotides) under Bacillota bacterium. Its description in RNAcentral is "tRNA-Ser". It matches the Rfam family "tRNA". From Rfam's summary of the family: Transfer RNA (tRNA) molecules are approximately 80 nucleotides in length. Their secondary structure includes four short double-helical elements and three loops (D, anti-codon, and T loops). Further hydrogen bonds mediate the characteristic L-shaped molecular structure. tRNAs have two regions of fundamental functional importance: the anti-codon, which is responsible for specific mRNA codon recognition, and the 3' end, to which the tRNAs corresponding amino acid is attached (by aminoacyl-tRNA synthetases). tRNAs cope with the degeneracy of the genetic code in two manners: having more than one tRNA (with a specific anti-codon) for a particular amino acid; and 'wobble' base-pairing, i.e. permitting non-standard base-pairing at the 3rd anti-codon position. The record is from RNAcentral. RNAcentral also lists the same sequence under 4 other names. Lineage: Bacteria; Bacillati; Bacillota.